Molecule: ribosomal RNA, 496 nt
Filed under: uncultured bacterium
Lineage: Bacteria
Description: partial 16S ribosomal RNA
Rfam family: Bacterial small subunit ribosomal RNA
Source: RNAcentral
GAUGAACGCUGGCGGCGUGCCUAAUACAUGCAAGUCGAGCGAACGGACGAGAAGCUUGCUUCUCUGAUGUUAGCGGCGGACGGGUGAGUAACACGUGGAUAACCUACCUAUAAGACUGGGAUAACUUCGGGAAACCGGAGCUAAUACCGGAUAAUAUUUUGAACCGCAUGGUUCAAAAGUGAAAGACGGUCUUGCUGUCACUUAUAGAUGGAUCCGCGCUGCAUUAGCUAGUUGGUAAGGUAACGGCUUACCAAGGCAACGAUGCAUAGCCGACCUGAGAGGGUGCUCGGCCCCACUGGAACUGAGACACGGUCCAGACUCCUACGGGAGGCAGCAGUAGGGAAUCUUCCGCAAUGGGCGAAAGCCUGACGGAGCAACGCCGCGUGAGUGAUGAAGGUCUUCGGAUCGUAAAACUCUGUUAUUAGGGAAGAACAUAUGUGUAAGUAACUGUGCACAUCUUGACGGUACCUAAUCAGAAAGCCACGGCUAACUACGU